Molecule: ribosomal RNA, 872 nt
Filed under: uncultured bacterium
Lineage: Bacteria
Description: bacterial SSU rRNA
Rfam family: Bacterial small subunit ribosomal RNA
Source: RNAcentral
GGGGGGGUAGCGGGAGCUACACAUGCAGUCGAGGGGUACAGUGCUGCUUGCAGCAGCUGACGACCGGCGCACGGGCCCGUUACGCGUAUGCAACCUACCCCAAACAGGGGAAUAGCCCAGGCAAACUUGGAUUAAUGCCCCAUGGUAACCAAUUACCGCAUGGUUUUUGGUUUAAAGCUCCGGCGGUUUGGGAUGGGCAUGCGUGGCAUCAGUUCGUUGGUGGGGUAACGGCCCACCAAGGCUACGAUGCCUAGGGGUUCUGAGAGGAUGACCCCCCACACUGGUACUGAGACACGGACCAGACUCCUACGGGAGGCAGCAGUGAGGAAUAUUGGUCAAUGGGCGCAAGCCUGAACCAGCCAUCCCGCGUGAAGGAUGACGGCCCUAUGGGUUGUAAACUUCUUUUAUGUGCCAAGAAUGGUGGCUACGUGUAGCCAUUUGACGGUAGCACAUGAAUAAGCAUCGGCUAACUCCGUGCCAGCAGCCGCGGUAAUACGGAGGAUGCAAGCGUUAUCCGGAUUCAUUGGGUUUAAAGGGUACGUAGGUGGCCCGGUAAGUCAGUGGUGAAAUCCUGCCGCUUAACGGUAGAACUGCCAUUGUUACUGCUGGGCUUGAGUAUAGUUGAGGUAGGCGGAAUGUGUAGUGUAGCGGUGAAAUGCUUAGAUAUUACACAGAACCCCGAUUGCGAAGGCAGCUUACUAAACUAUAACUGACACUGAGGUACGAAAGCGUGGGGAGCGAACAGGAUUAGAUACCCUGGUAGUCCACGCCGUAAACGAUGCUCACUCGCUGUAUGCGGUACACAGUAUGCGGCCAAGCGAAAGCAUUAAGUGAGCCACCUGGGGAGUACGUCGGCAACGGUGAAACUCAAA